GGAAUAUUGGACAAUGGGCGCAAGCCUGAUCCAGCCAUGCCGCGUGGAUGAUGAAGGCCCUAGGGUUGUAAAGUCCUUUCGGCGGUGAAGAUAAUGACGGUAGCCGGAGAAGAAGCCCCGGCUAACUUCGUGCCAGCAGCCGCGGUAAUACGAAGGGGGCUAGCGUUGUUCGGAAUUACUGGGCGUAAAGCGCACGUAGGCGGAUUGUUUAGUGAGGGGUGAAAUCCCAGGGCUCAACCCUGGAACUGCCUCUCAUACUGGCAAUCUCGAGUCCGAGAGAGGUGAGUGGAAUUCCGAGUGUAGAGGUGAAAUUCGUAGAUAUUCGGAGGAACACCAGUGGCGAAGGCGGCUCACUGGCUCGGUACUGACGCUGAGGUGCGAAAGCGUGGGGAGCAAA
This 397-nucleotide ribosomal RNA is filed under the name uncultured bacterium. Its description in RNAcentral is "bacterial SSU rRNA". It matches the Rfam family "Bacterial small subunit ribosomal RNA", at positions 358 to 772 of the family's 1533-position model. The record is from RNAcentral.